CCUGCCAUAGAUGAUCUCCACGUCUUCCUCGUCUGGUCUCGUCUCUCUGUGUAUGAGGACUUACCUGUCUUCAAUCAGUCUUCCCUAAAACCUCCACUACACACCUGUCAGCACCUGUAACAAACAACUGUUUAUGCUCAAGUGUCAGAGAUCAGAAUGACGAGGAGGAAGGAGGCGACGGUCACACUGAGAGAGAGAGAGAGAGAGAGAGAGAGAAACAGGAAAACAUGACAGGGAUCCGACUGGAAAAGGAUGAGCUCUCAUGCAUGAAGACAACUGCCCCGCGCUGAUAGAAGACAUGCUACAGAGUGUCAGACGUGCCAGGAUAGGAGGCUGGAAACAGCUUCACUAGAGAGAGCAGCUGCACGGCGCUCAGAAACAAAGUGGACAGCGUCCAAAACCACUUUACCAACUGGCCAGCUGGGACGAAAACCACAUCGAGCCGGCCAAGCUGUGUGACAUUAGUCCAGGAACAUUGGUCAUGAGGUACUCUGGACAUAUCAUUUGAUAAAAACUUAAGAAUAAAGCCCAGCCAUCUGUAGAGUUUGAGUAUGAAUGCAAAUGCUCUUUGUUUUAGGGUUGCACAUUCAAGUGCAGGUGACAGAAGGCUGAAAAAAUUAUGCUUUUAGAAAUCAAAAGAGUGUUUCACGCUACACUUUAUGUGAUGCAAACCCCGAAUGACCCGGUGCUCAGACAUGGUAUUGCAACAUGGAACCAAUCAUAAAAGGCC
Cyprinus carpio carpio is the source of this 730-nucleotide long non-coding RNA. NCBI's taxonomy places the organism in Eukaryota, Metazoa, Chordata, Actinopteri, Cypriniformes, Cyprinidae. The record is from Ensembl.